Molecule: long non-coding RNA, 282 nt
Organism: Phacochoerus africanus (Common warthog)
Lineage: Eukaryota; Metazoa; Chordata; Mammalia; Artiodactyla; Suidae
Exons: 2
Source: RefSeq, a predicted model, not a curated record
UCGGGGGCCCUGUGCUCACCGGGUGGUGGGGGUAUUCCAGAGCCACGUGGGUGCCUCCAGCACAGGUCCAGGAGUUCAUUGUUGAGGAGGAUGCCCGUGUGGGACAGAGGAGGGAGGCCGCGACCAUGGAGGCCUAAGAAUGCCGGCAGCUGCCAGAGCUGGAAGAGGCAAAGCACAGACCCCCUGCACCCCCAAGGUUCCCGGAGCAAGUGUGGCCCUGCAGACACCUUGGUUUUGAACUUCUGGCCUCCAGAACUAUGAGAAUACAUUUCUGUUGUUUGA